GAUGUGGAGGGAGCGGAGGCUGCGCGGCGGAGAGUAGAGAGCUAGAGGGUGAGAAGCGCUGGGCCGGACCAGAACUGUCUUAGCUUUUCCCUCUGCGGCUGCUCUGGUUGGUUACUUUGAGCCUGCCUCCUCAGCGCCGCAGGAGAGACUUAACAGCAAAAAUGACUGUGUCCUGAGUUCAGCCCCCACUGCUCUGGGAGCUUCCCCCUGGUUUCUGCACCUGAAGAAUGUCAUCCCAGCCGAAGGUUCUUAGGAGCGGGGAGCGACAAAGAAAAACAAAGAAAAGCAGACCUGAAAAUUGGGACCUGGGAGAAAUGUAAGACAUGUGCUUAAUUUGAGGCACAGACCAAAAGAAGCUGAGUCUGAGGGCCCUCUAAAAGUGUCCUCGUGCUUGGGCAGCUUACAUUCUUGGCGGCAGUAGUGUUAUGAAGAGGACCUUCGGAGCCAGGUCUGUCCAUUCUUAGGGCUCCAGCCACUGGCUGAGGCAUCAAGACGAGUGCUCUAAACCAGUAUCAUGGCUCCAGUUCCUCUGACAAGGAUUCACAUGGGGUUGCAAUUCUGACUGUGCUGGUGAUGCUGGUUCCAGGUCCCUCAGGAACCCCUCCCCCAGUCUGGUCUGCCCUUGAACUCUAUACUGGCCCCAGGGUAUCCCAGGAUUGUCAGAAAGGCCUGGCCAGGAUUCACCUGGGAGAGGGAUCAGCAUCUCUGCAAAGUUGUUGGAUUGAAAGAACUUUCAUUUUGAGCUACAUCAUUGAAGAGCUUUAAAUCUGAAAAUAAGAAAGACGUUGAACCCUAUUACUCACAUCUCUUUGUCAUUUGAAGCAGAUCCCGAACCACUCAAAAGGACAAAACAAGGAAAUAGCAAUGAAAUUGGAUUCAGUGAAUGGGGUAAGGGUAUUAAGUGUCUGAAAUAUAAGAGAUAAAAAAAUUAGUUUUUACCUUUUUUUCUAUUUUCUAAAUGUUUUGGUGGCUAGAAUAAGAUAUACUUUGAACUCAAGAGCAAUAAAUGUUAAUAUAUUAAAAGUAGCUUUAUGAAAUAUGGAAAGUAUCUUUAUUUCAAAAUACUUCAAAGUAAUCAUCUGAAUAUUUAUCAGAAAUAUUAAGACAACUUAUUAAAUCCUGUAUUAAAAUGAUUGCUUAUU
Molecule: long non-coding RNA, 1142 nt
Filed under: Homo sapiens (human)
Lineage: Eukaryota; Metazoa; Chordata; Mammalia; Primates; Hominidae
Description: HSALNT0314879
Source: RNAcentral